GACGAACGCUGGCGGCGUGCUUAACACAUGCAAGUCGAACGGUGAAGGGGUCUGCUUUUGUGGGCCCUGUAUGAGUGGCGAACGGGUGAGUAACACGUGUGUAACCUGCCCCCUUCUUCUGGAUAACCGCAUGAAAGUGUGGCUAAUACGGGAUAUUCUGGGUCUGUCGCAUGAUGGGUCUGGGAAAGAUUGCUCCUUUGGGGGUUUUUGGUGGGGGAUGGGGUCGCGGCCUCUCAGCUUGUUGGUGGGGUGAUGGCGUACCAAGGCGGUGACGGGUAGCCGGCCUGAGAGGGUGGACGGUCACACUGGGACUGAGACACGGCCCAGACUCCUACGGGAGGAAGCAGUGGGGAAUAUUGCACAAUGGGCGCAAGCCUGAUGCAGCGACGCCGCGUGAGGGAUGGAGGCCUUCGGGUUGUAAACCUCUUUCGCCAGUGAAGCAGGCCUGCUCCUUGUGGGUGGGUUGACGGUAGCUGGAUAAGAAGCGCCGGCUAACUACGUG
RNAcentral lists this ribosomal RNA (502 nucleotides) under uncultured bacterium. RNAcentral describes it as "partial 16S ribosomal RNA". It matches the Rfam family "Bacterial small subunit ribosomal RNA", at positions 28 to 507 of the family's 1533-position model. The record is from RNAcentral.